RNAcentral lists this ribosomal RNA (458 nucleotides) under Zhangixalus omeimontis (Omei tree frog). RNAcentral's name for it is "Rhacophorus omeimontis (Omei tree frog) partial 16S ribosomal RNA". It matches the Rfam family "Bacterial large subunit ribosomal RNA", at positions 1971 to 2597 of the family's 2925-position model. The record is from RNAcentral. Lineage: Eukaryota; Metazoa; Chordata; Amphibia; Anura; Rhacophoridae.
GUUCUUUAAAUAAGGACUAGUAUCAACGGCAUCACGAGGGUUACACUGUCUCCUUUCUCCAAUCAGUGAAACUGAUCUUCCCGUGAAGAAGCGGGAAUAUAACCAUAAGACGAGAAGACCCCAUGGAGCUUUAAAUUUUAUAGCAACUCAGUCAAAUAAACCCUUAUAAUCCACAGAGCCAUGCAUGCCAAUUUUAGGUUGGGGUGACCGCGGAGUAAAAAUUAACCUCCACGACGAAAAGAACUAGAUCUUUAUCUAAGGGCUACAGCCCUAAGAAUUAGUAUACUAACGACAAUGACCCGAUAAUCGAUCAACGGACUAAGUUACCCUGGGGAUAACAGCGCAAUCUACUUCGAGAGCUCAUAUCGACAAGUAGGCUUACGACCUCGAUGUUGGAUCAGGGUAUCCCGGUGGUGCAGCCGCUACUAAUGGUUCGUUUGUUCAACGAUUAAAACCCU